UAAGUAGGGUGCAAGCGUUAAUCGGAAUUAUUGGGCGUAAAGUGUGCGUAGGCGGUUUUGUAAGUCUGACGUGAAAUCCCCGAGCUCAACCUGGGAAUUGCGUUGGAGACUGCAAGGCUAGAAUCUGGCAGAGGGGGGUAGAAUUCCACGUGUAGCAGUGAAAUGCGUAGAGAUGUGGAGGAACAACGAUGGCGAAGGCAGCCCCCUGGGUCAAGAUUUACGCU
RNAcentral lists this ribosomal RNA (224 nucleotides) under uncultured bacterium. RNAcentral's name for it is "partial 16S ribosomal RNA". It matches the Rfam family "Bacterial small subunit ribosomal RNA", at positions 524 to 747 of the family's 1533-position model. The record is from RNAcentral.